Molecule: long non-coding RNA, 202 nt
Filed under: Mytilus galloprovincialis (Mediterranean mussel)
Lineage: Eukaryota; Metazoa; Mollusca; Bivalvia; Mytilida; Mytilidae
Source: RNAcentral
ACAAAAACAGAAAAUAAGGAAAGUUAGCUUGAUUGCUUAUGAAAUGUAUGAGCAAGUAGACAACUGCAUUGCACUGGACCAACGCCAUAAUCACUAUACUGUAACAACAUGAGGCUAUUCAUAUCAGAUGAAAUAUGUAAAAUCUAUAGAAUGGUGUAGAUGUUAAUUUUGAAGUACCCAACAGUUAAUUCAAUGACAAAAA